Paramuricea clavata is the source of this 394-nucleotide non-coding RNA. The record is from the annotation of a GenBank genome assembly. Lineage: Eukaryota; Metazoa; Cnidaria; Anthozoa; Malacalcyonacea; Plexauridae.
UAUUACUAGAAUACAUUGGUAUCGAAGGAACUAGAUUCUGUUCCGAAAUAUCACUUACUCGAACCGUCCUGACCGCGUAGCUCAGUUGGAAGAGCAUUGGGCUAGUAUUCCAAAGGUCGUAGGUUCGAAUCCCACCGUGGCCGGGCAUAUUUUUCAAGCCCGCCCGGUGUGGAUAUACACUCAGAGUAACACCACAAAUAUCAUAUUCACCUGAGUACACUACACCAACACAGAAAAAAAAAAAUUCAUAUUACUAGAAUACAUUGGUAUCGAAGGAACUAGAUUCUGUUCCGAAAUAUCACUUACUCGAACCGUCCUGACCGCGUAGCUCAGUUGGAAGAGCAUUGGGCUAGUAUUCCAAAGGUCGUAGGUUCGAAUCCCACCGUGGCCUGGC